AGGUCAAGUAGAGAAGGGCGCACGGUGAAUGCCUAGGCACUGGAAGCCGAUGAAGGACGUGACAAACGACGAAAUGCUUCGGGGAGCGGUAAGUACGCAGAGAUCCGGAGAUAUCCGAAUGGGGGAACCCGGCACCGUGAGGUGUCACCUUGAAUGUGAAUAGAUAGCAUUAAGGAGGAAGACGCAGUGAACUGAAACAUCUAAGUAGCUGCAGGAAGAGAAAGAAAGAUCGAUUUCCCAAGUAGCGGCGAGCGAACAGGAAAGAGCCCAAACCUAAUGGCUUGCCAUUAGGGGUAGAAGGACUGUAAAAAGCCGAAUGGAAGGAUAGCAGAAUUAUCUGGGAAGAUAAGCCAAAGAGGGUGAGAGCCCCGUAAGCGAAAUCCGGAAAGUAGGUGAGCAGGAUCCUGAGUAGGUCGGGACACGAGGAAUCCCGAUUGAAUCCGCGAGGACCAUCUCGCAAGGCUAAAUACUAACCAGUGACCGAUAGUGAACCAGUACCGUGAGGGAAAGGUGAAAAGAACCCCGGGAGGGGAGUGAAAGAGAACCUGAAACCGUGUGCCUACAAGUAGUCAGAGCACGUUAAAGUGUGAUGGCGUGCCUUUUGUAGAAUGAACCGGCGAGUUGCGUUGUGGUGCAAGGUUAAGUCAGAAAAGACGGAGCCGAAGCGAAAGCGAGUCUGAAGAGGGCGAGAUAGUAUCAUGACGCAGACCCGAAACCAAGUGACCUACCCAUGACCAGGUUGAAGGCGUGGUAAAACACGCUGGAGGACCGAACCCACGCAAGUUGAAAAUUGCGGGGAUGAGUUGUGGGUAGCGGUGAAAUUCCAAACGAACUUGGAGAUAGCUGGUUCUCUCCGAAAUAGCUUUAGGGCUAGCCUCGUGUGAAUGAUAAUGGAGGUAGAGCACUGUUUGGACUAGGGGCCCGUCAGGGGUUACUGAAUCCAGAUAAACUCCGAAUGCCAGAUAUCAAUGCACGGGAGUCAGACUGCGAGUGAUAAGAUCCGUAGUCGAAAGGGAAACAGCCCAGAUCACCGGUUAAGGUCCCAAAAUCUAUGCUAAGUGGAAAAGGAUGUGGAGUUGCACAGACAACUAGGAUGUUGGCUCAGAAGCAGCCACCAUUUAAAGAGUGCGUAAUAGCUCACUAGUCGAGUGACGCUGCGCCGAAAAUUUACCGGGGCUAAGCAUAGUACCGAAACCGUGGAUGCAGGUAACUGCGUGGUAGGAGAGCGUUCUAAAGGCGGAGAAGGCAGAUCGAGAGGACUGUUGGAGCGUUUAGAAGUGAGAAUGCCGGUAUAAGUAGCGAAAGACAGGUGAGAAUCCUGUCCGCCGAAAGACUAAGGUUUCCUGGGGCAGGCUCGUCCGCCCAGGGUAAGUCGGGACCUAAGGUAAGGCCGAGAGGCGUAGCCGAUGGAUAACAGGUAGAUAUUCCUGUACUAUUCGCAAUCGAUAAGAGCGAAGGAGGGACGCAGGAGGCUAAUGACGCAUGGAGAUGGAAUCAUGUGUAAGCGUUAAGGAAGGAUGCGAGUCAAAUGCUUGUAUCCAAUUUUGAGACGUGAUGCGGAGUGAAAUAAAAGUGGAAAAGGAUGUGGAGUUGCACAGACAACUAGGAUGUUGGCUCAGAAGCAGCCACCAUUUAAAGAGUGCGUAAUAGCUCACUAGUCGAGUGACGCUGCGCCGAAAAUUUACCGGGGCUAAGCAUAGUACCGAAACCGUGGAUGCAGGUAACUGCGUGGUAGGAGAGCGUUCUAAAGGCGGAGAAGGCAGAUCGAGAGGACUGUUGGAGCGUUUAGAAGUGAGAAUGCCGGUAUAAGUAGCGAAAGACAGGUGAGAAUCCUGUCCGCCGAAAGACUAAGGUUUCCUGGGGCAGGCUCGUCCGCCCAGGGUAAGUCGGGACCUAAGGUAAGGCCGAGAGGCGUAGCCGAUGGAUAACAGGUAGAUAUUCCUGUACUAUUCGCAAUCGAUAAGAGCGAAGGAGGGACGCAGGAGGCUAAUGACGCAUGGAGAUGGAAUCAUGUGUAAGCGUUAAGGAAGGAUGCGAGUCAAAUGCUUGUAUCCAAUUUUGAGACGUGAUGCGGAGUGAAAUAAAAGUAGCGAAGGUCAUGAAGUCACACUGCCAAGAAAAGCUUCUAGCCAGAGAGCGAGUACCCGUACCGCAAACCGACACAGGUAGUCGAGGAGAGAAUCCUCAGGUGAGCGAGAGAACUCUCGUUAAGGAACUCGGCAAAAUAACCCCGUAACUUAGGGAGAAGGGGUGCUGAAGAGAAAUCAGCCGCAGUGAAGAGGCCCAAACAACUGUUUAUCAAAAACACAGGUAUCUGCAAAAUCGUAAGAUGACGUAUAGGUACUGACACCUGCCCGGUGCUGGAAGGUUAAGAGGAUAGCUUAGCGAAAGCGAAGGUUAGAAUUGAAGCCCCAGUAAACGGCGGCCGUAACUAUAACGGUCCUAAGGUAGCGAAAUUCCUUGUCGGGUAAGUUCCGACCUGCACGAAAGGUGUAAUGAUUUGGGCACUGUCUCAACGAGAGACUCGGUGAAAUUAUAAUACCCGUGAAGAUGCGGGUUACCCGCGACAGGACGGAAAGACCCCAUGGAGCUUUACUGUAGCUUGAUAUUGAGUAUUUGUUAAACAUGUACAGGAUAGGUAGGAGCCAGAGAAGAUAGGACGCCAGUUUUAUCAGAGGCAAUGUUGGGAUACUACCCUUGUUUGAUGGAUCCUCUAACUCGUCACACUAAGCGUGUGAGAGGACAGUGUCAGGUGGGCAGUUUGACUGGGGCGGUCGCCUCCUAAAGAGUAACGGAGGCGCCCAAAGGUUCCCUCAGAAUGGUUGGAAAUCAUUCGCAGAGUGUAAAGGUAGAAGGGAGCUUGACUGCGAGAGAGACAACUCGAGCAGGUACGAAAGUAGGGCUUAGUGAUCUGGUGGUACUGCAUGGAAAGGCCAUCACUCAACGGAUAAAAGCUACCCUGGGGAUAACAGGCUUAUCUCCCCCAAGAGUUCACAUCGACGGGGAGGUUUGGCACCUCGAUGUCGGCUCGUCGCAUCCUGGGGCUGAAGUCGGUCCCAAGGGUUGGGCUGUUCGCCCAUUAAAGCGGCACGCGAGCUGGGUUCAGAACGUCGUGAGACAGUUCGGUCCCUAUCCGUCGUGGGCGUAGGAAAUUUGAGAGGAGCUGUCCUUAGUACGAGAGGACCGGGAUGGACAUACCGCUGGUGUACCAGUUGUCUUGCCAAAGGCACCGCUGGGUAGCUAUGUAUGGAAGGGAUAAGCGCUGAAAGCAUCUAAGUGCGAAGCCCCCCUCAAGAUGAGAUUUCCGAAGCGAAAGCAGUAAGACACCUUAGAGACGAUGAGGUAGAUAGGCCGGGAGUGGAAGAGCAGUGAUGCUUGGAGCGGACCGGUACUAAUAAGUCGAGAACUUGACCAAA
Molecule: ribosomal RNA, 3416 nt
Filed under: Lactobacillus iners
Lineage: Bacteria; Bacillati; Bacillota; Bacilli; Lactobacillales; Lactobacillaceae
Description: bacterial LSU rRNA
Rfam family: Bacterial large subunit ribosomal RNA
Source: RNAcentral